AUACGGAGGGUGCAAGCGUUGUUCGGAAUUAUUGGGCGUAAAGAGCAUGUAGGCGGUUCGUUAAGUCUGAUGUGAAAGCCCGGGGCUCAACCCCGGAAGUGCAUUGGAUACUGGCAAACUUGAGUACGGGAGAGGAAAGUGGAAUUUCGAGUGUAGGGGUGAAAUCCGUAGAUAUUCGAAGGAACACCAGUGGCGAAGGCGGCUUUCUGGACCGAUACUGACGCUGAGAUGCGAAAGCGUGGGGAGCAAACAGGAUUAGAAACCCCAGUAGUCC
This 274-nucleotide ribosomal RNA is filed under the name uncultured bacterium. RNAcentral describes it as "partial 16S ribosomal RNA". It matches the Rfam family "Bacterial small subunit ribosomal RNA", at positions 523 to 796 of the family's 1533-position model. The record is from RNAcentral.